RNAcentral lists this ribosomal RNA (116 nucleotides) under Octodon degus (degu). The record is from RNAcentral. Lineage: Eukaryota; Metazoa; Chordata; Mammalia; Rodentia; Octodontidae.
GUCUACAACUACACCAUCCUAAACACACCUGACCUCGUCUGAUCUGGGAAGCUAAGCAGGGUUGGGCCCGGUUAGUACUUGGAUGGGGUCCAUAGCUGUGUUCAGUUCUUCAGGCC